GAUGAACGCUAGCUACAGGCUUAACACAUGCAAGUCGAGGGGCAGCAUUUUAGUUUGCUUGCAAACUAAAGAUGGCGACCGGCGCACGGGUGAGUAACACGUAUCCAACCUGCCGAUAACUCGGGGAUAGCCUUUCGAAAGAAAGAUUAAUAUCCGAUAGUAUAUUAAAACCGCAUGGUUUUACUAUUAAAGAAUUUCGGUUAUCGAUGGGGAUGCGUUCCAUUAGUUUGUUGGCGGGGUAACGGCCCACCAAGACUACGAUGGAUAGGGGUUCUGAGAGGAAGGUCCCCCCACAUUGGAACUGAGACACGGUCCAAACUCCUACGGGAGGCAGCAGUGAGGAAUAUUGGUCAAUGGACGAGAGUCUGAACCAGCCAAGUAGCGUGCAGGAUGACGGCCCUAUGGGUUGUAAACUGCUUUUAUAAGGGAAUAAAGUGGGAGUCGUGACUCUUUUUGCAUGUACCUUAUGAAUAAGGACCGGCUAAUUCCGUG
This 492-nucleotide ribosomal RNA is filed under the name uncultured bacterium. Its description in RNAcentral is "bacterial SSU rRNA". It matches the Rfam family "Bacterial small subunit ribosomal RNA", at positions 28 to 507 of the family's 1533-position model. The record is from RNAcentral.